AAUUGGACUCAACGCCGGGCAGCUCACGGAUAAGCAGCUGGAUGAUAGCCGGGCUGAAGACUCUGCUUGACUAGCUGAGAGGAGGUGCAUGGCCGUCGUCAGUUCGUACUGUGAAGCAUCCUGUUAAGUCAGGCAACGAGCGAGACCCACGCCAACAGUUGCCAGCAUGUCCUCCGGGAUGAUGGGGACACUGUUGGGACCGCUCUGCUAAAGAGGAGGAAGGAAUGGGCAACGGUAGGUCAGCAUGCCCCGAAUUAUCCGGGCUACACGCGGGCUACAAUGGUCAGGACAAUGGGUAUCGACACCGAGAGGUGGAGGCAAUCUCCUAAACCUGUCCUUAGUUCGGAUUGUGGGCUGCAACUCGCCCACAUGAAGCUGGAAUCCGUAGUAAUCGCGUUUCAAAAUAGCGCGGUGAAUAUGUCCCUGCUCCUU
This 432-nucleotide ribosomal RNA is filed under the name uncultured Methanolinea sp. RNAcentral's name for it is "bacterial SSU rRNA". It matches the Rfam family "Archaeal small subunit ribosomal RNA", at positions 904 to 1338 of the family's 1478-position model. The record is from RNAcentral. Lineage: Archaea; Methanobacteriati; Methanobacteriota; Methanomicrobia; Methanomicrobiales; Methanoregulaceae.